GAUGAACGCUGGCGGCGUGCCUAAUACAUGCAAGUCGAGCGAACGGACGAGAAGCUUGCUUCUCUGAUGUUAGCGGCGGACGGGUGAGUAACACGUGGAUAGCCUACCUAUAAGACUGGGAUAACUUCGGGAAACCGGAGCUAAUACCGGAUGAUAUUUUGAACCGCAUGGUUCAAAAGUGAAAGACGGUCUUGCUUUCACUUAUAGAUGGAUCCGCGCUGCAUUAGCUAGUUGGUAAGGUAACGGCUUACCAAGGCAACGAUGCAUAGCCGACCUGAGAGGGUGAUCGGCCACACUGGAACUGAGACACGGUCCAGACUCCUACGGGAGGCAGCAGUAGGGAAUCUUCCGCAAGGGGCGAAAGCCUGACGGAGCAACGCCGCGUGAGUGAUGAAGGUCUUCGGAUCGUAAAACUCUGUUAUUAGGGAAGAACAUAUGUGUAAGUAACUGUGCACAUCUUGACGGUACCUAAUCAGAAAGCCACGGCUAACUACGUG
Molecule: ribosomal RNA, 497 nt
Filed under: uncultured bacterium
Lineage: Bacteria
Description: partial 16S ribosomal RNA
Rfam family: Bacterial small subunit ribosomal RNA
Source: RNAcentral